AAUAAAGUUGUUUAGCUUGUUCAGAUCUACAUUUUGGUAUGAUUUCAGUAAUUUUUGGGUUUGUGUUCUUGAGAAUGUUGCUUGAGUAGUGAUUAGGGUUCUUGAGGAUGGACUAGAUUAGGGUAAUCUCUAAGUUAGUUAGGUGGUUAGUGUUUAGGUUUGAACCUUUCUGGAUUCGCUUGGCCCCUAUGCGAUUUUCGCUGGCUAAUGUGGAGAUUCGAUCAUAGACGUCCGGCGUCCAAAAGACGUUCAAAUGGAUGUCUGAUCUACGAAUUCCAGAGAUUUGUAGACUCGACCAAGACAUUGGCUUGACUGCUUAUUGGCUUUUGUAA
This 332-nucleotide small RNA is filed under the name Arabidopsis thaliana (thale cress). RNAcentral's name for it is "ATSL156830". Lineage: Eukaryota; Viridiplantae; Streptophyta; Magnoliopsida; Brassicales; Brassicaceae. The record is from RNAcentral.